CAGAGUUAUCCAACUCCCAAACCCAUGUGAACUUAUCUCUUUGUUGCCUCAGCGCAAGCUACCCGGGACCUCGCGCCCCGGGCGGCCCGCCGGCGGACAAACCAAAACUCUUGUUAUCUUAGUUGAUUAUCUGAGUGUCUUAUUUAAUAAGUCA
RNAcentral lists this unclassified non-coding RNA (154 nucleotides) under soil metagenome. RNAcentral's name for it is "partial internal transcribed spacer 1". The record is from RNAcentral.